Molecule: transfer RNA, 74 nt
Filed under: Rhipicephalus microplus (southern cattle tick)
Lineage: Eukaryota; Metazoa; Arthropoda; Arachnida; Ixodida; Ixodidae
Description: tRNA-Asn
Rfam family: tRNA
About the family: Transfer RNA (tRNA) molecules are approximately 80 nucleotides in length. Their secondary structure includes four short double-helical elements and three loops (D, anti-codon, and T loops).
Source: Rfam by way of RNAcentral
GUCUCCGUGGCGCAAUUGGCCAGCGCGAUCGGCUGUUAACCGAGAAGUUGGAGGUUCGAGCCCUCCCGGGAAUG